Molecule: ribosomal RNA, 254 nt
Filed under: uncultured bacterium
Lineage: Bacteria
Description: partial 16S ribosomal RNA
Rfam family: Bacterial small subunit ribosomal RNA
Source: RNAcentral
UACGUAGGGUGCGAGCGUUGUCCGGAAUUAUUGGGCGUAAAGAGCUUGUAGGUGGUUUGUCGCGUCUGCUGUGAAAAUCCGAGGCUCAACCUCGGACUUGCAGUGGGUACGGGCAGACUAGAGUGUGGUAGGGGAGACUGGAAUUCCUGGUGUAGCGGUGAAAUGCGCAGAUAUCGAGAGGAACACCUGUGGCGAAGGCGGCCCCCUGGGCCGGCCCUGACACUGAGACGCGAAGGCGUGGGGAGCGAACGGGG